ACCAACAGGGAUUGCCUCAGUAGCGGCGAGUGAAGCGGCAAGAGCUCAGAUUUGAAAUCGUGCUUUGCGGCACGAGUUGUAGAUUGCAGGUUGGAGUCUGUGUGGAAGGCGGUGUCCAAGUCCCUUGGAACAGGGCGCCCAGGAGGGUGAGAGCCCCGUGGGAUGCCGGCGGAAGCAGUGAGGCCCUUCUGACGAGUCGAGUUGUUUGGGAAUGCAGCUCCAAGCGGGUGGUAAAUUCCAUCUAAGGCUAAAUACUGGCGAGAGACCGAUAGCGAACAAGUACUGUGAAGGAAAGAUGAAAAGCACUUUGAAAAGAGAGUGAAACAGCACGUGAAAUUGUUGAAAGGGAAGGGUAUUGCGCCCGACAUGGGGAUUGCGCACCGCUGCCUCUCGUGGGCGGCGCUCUGGGCUUUCCCUGGGCCAGCAUCGGUUCUUGCUGCAGGAGAAGGGGUUCUGGAACGUGGCUCUUCGGAGUGUUAUAG
RNAcentral lists this ribosomal RNA (482 nucleotides) under Pichia kudriavzevii. RNAcentral describes it as "LSU rRNA". It matches the Rfam family "Eukaryotic large subunit ribosomal RNA", at positions 64 to 557 of the family's 3401-position model. The record is from RNAcentral. Lineage: Eukaryota; Fungi; Ascomycota; Pichiomycetes; Pichiales; Pichiaceae.